RNAcentral lists this ribosomal RNA (495 nucleotides) under uncultured bacterium. Its description in RNAcentral is "partial 16S ribosomal RNA". It matches the Rfam family "Bacterial small subunit ribosomal RNA", at positions 28 to 507 of the family's 1533-position model. The record is from RNAcentral.
GACGAACGCUGGCGGCGUGCCUAAUACAUGCAAGUAGAACGCUGAAGGAGGAGCUUGCUUCUCUGGAUGAGUUGCGAACGGGUGAGUAACGCGUAGGUAACCUGCCUGGUAGCGGGGGAUAACUAUUGGAAACGAUAGCUAAUACCGCAUAAUAGUAGCUGUUGCAUGACAUUUACUUAAAAGGUUCAAUUGCAUCACUACCAGAUGGACCUGCGUUGUAUUAGCUUGUUGUUGGGGUAACGGCGCACGAAGGCGAGGAUACAUAGCGGGCCGGCGAGGGGGGUCAGCCACACUGGGAGGGAGACAGGGCCCAGUGGGAUAGGGAAGGCAGCAGUAGGGAAACGGCGGCAAGCGGUGAGGGACUGAGCAAGCAAGGCGGCAGGAGGGAGGAGGGACUUCGGGUCGGAGAGCACGGUUGUCAGGGAAGAACGAGUGUGAGAGUGUGAAGUAGACUGUGUGACGGUAACGGACAAGAAAGCAACGGCUAACUACGUG